RNAcentral lists this ribosomal RNA (423 nucleotides) under uncultured fungus. RNAcentral describes it as "eukaryotic LSU rRNA". The stretch from base 135 to 286 matches the Rfam family "5.8S ribosomal RNA". Lineage: Eukaryota; Fungi. The record is from RNAcentral.
AAGUCAUAACAAGGUUUCCGUAGGUGAACCUGCGGAAGGAUCAUUCUCAAAGUUGAUCUCCAACCGUAACCUGUGAACCGCGCCUCCGGGCCGAACGCUUUGGUUUUUGAAUGUAUUAUACGUUAAACAAAAAAAACUUUCAACAACGGAUCUCUUGGCUCUCGCAUCGAUGAAGAACGCAGCGAAAUGCGAUAAGUAAUGUGAAUUGCAGAACAGUGAAUCAUCGAGUCUUUGAACGCAACUUGCGCCCUCUGGUAUUCCGGAGGGCAUGCCUGUCCGAGUGUCUCAAACGAUCACCAUCCCCGGUGGACUUGGGUGCUGCCGUCGGCUCGCCUGAAAUGUUUGAAAACCCAGUGACCAUAAGUUCUGUCACGACACUCAUGUUUUGACCUCGGAUCAGGUAGGACUACCCGCUGAACUUAA